CGGCCCCCUGGACAAGACUGACGCUCAGGUGCGAAAGCGUGGGGAGCGAACAGGAUUAGAUACCUGGUAGUCACGCUGUAAACGAUGUCGAUUUGGAGGUUGUUCCCUUGAGGAGUGGCUUCCGGAGCUAACGCGUUAAAUCGACCGCUGGGGAGUACGGCCGCAAGGUUAAAACUCAAAUGAAUUGACGGGGGCCCGCACAAGCGGUGGAGCAUGUGGUUUAAUUCGAUGCAACGCGAAGAACCUUACCUACUCUUGACAUCCAGAGAAUUUAGCAGAGAUGCUUUAGUGCCUUCGGGAACUCUGAGACAGGUGCUGCAUGGCUGUCGUCAGCUCGUGUUGUGAAAUGUUGGGUUAAGUCCCGCAACGAGCGCAACCCUUAUCCUUUGUUGCCAGCACAUUAUGGUGGGAACUCAAAGGAGACUGCCGGUGAUAAACCGGAGGAAGGUGGGGAUGACGUCAAGUCAUCAUGGCCCUUACGGGUAGGGCUACACACGUGCUACAAUGGCGUAUACAAAGAGAAGCGACCUCGCGAGAGCAAGCGGAACUCAUAAAGUACGUCGUAGUCCGGAUUGGAGUCUGCAACUCGACUCCAUGAAGUCGGAAUCGCUAGUAAUCGUAGAUCAGAAUGCUACGGUGAAUACGUUCCCGGGCCUUGUACACACCGCCCGUCACACCAUGGGAGUGGGUUGCAAAAGAAGUAGGUAGCUUAACCUUCGGGGGGGCGUUUACCACGGUGUGAUUCAUGACUGGGGUGAAGUCGUAACAAGGUAACCA
Molecule: ribosomal RNA, 777 nt
Filed under: uncultured Enterobacteriaceae bacterium
Lineage: Bacteria; Pseudomonadati; Pseudomonadota; Gammaproteobacteria; Enterobacterales; Enterobacteriaceae
Description: bacterial SSU rRNA
Rfam family: Bacterial small subunit ribosomal RNA
Source: RNAcentral